AAGACACGUGACUAGGCGAAGGUCAAGGGGGCCGGAGCAAGGCUGACUCCUUUCCCCCGCCUGCAGCUACCUCAACAGGAGGCCGCCCCUUGACUUUGCAGAAAAUGACUGAGGUCAGGAACGAUCCACAAGCCCAGACACUCACCCCUCCAGCUCAGAGAAGUGGCUGUCCCACGGCCCCUGCUCCCGGGGGCUCCUGCUGGCAAAGGCUGCCAUGCUGCCUGGAGGCUGCCGCUCUGCAAUCCGGUUCUGCAAGAACAGACACAUUCCCGCCUGUAGGCACCAGGAGGCCUGGAGGCGGGGCAAGGCAGAGGGUGAUGGGGGUACAGGGAGAUCCAAGGAGCCCCCAGACAAGAGAAUAUUCCCCGCUUCUUCAGGACUGGCCAUGGCCUUUUGACACCGGCAAAGUGAGGCCCAGAGAGGGGCUGGGACUUCCCCCCGGUCCCUGAUACCUGAGGACAGGGCGCUGUUCCUGUGAUUUUUCUAACCUGGGGUGUCGCUGUCUCCACAUUCACCCCCAUUUCUCCUCCGUACCAGCCAAGAGACCCCUCCACAGGCAAAGCUGGUCCUGGCUGCCUGAGCAAAGGGCUCCCACCACCCGCAUGCUGGUGUUCUCCCCACGGUCACCUCAGCCUCCUGUCCCACCCCCUCAGCUCCCUUUCUGAAGGGUUCUGUCUCCACCCUCGAGAUGCCCUGAGGCUGAGCAACCUUUGCCACCGGGCACCACUGGCACCCUCAAAGCUCAGCCCAGGUGUCCUGUCCUUGGGGAGCCCUUCUGCCUGACACCCAUCUGUCCUGGUAGCAGGAACCCCCUCUGUGAGGCCACUCUGUCCCGGACAGCCCCACACUCAGUUCUCUCCAUUGGGGUCCACGCAGAUCUCUGGCAAGCAGGGCCAGGCGUGGGCACUCCAGGUGCCCAGGGAAUCUCGGGAAGGGAUUUCCAAGUGCUGGCCCCACUCCCAAAGCUCCUCUCCAGUCCACUUACCUCCUGACCACCCAAAACCCACAGGAAGAGACGGAGGAGGUGGGGACAGAGACAGAAGAGGCAGGAACAGAGGCGCCCCCCACCCCACCCCUCACAGCCGGUUCCUACCUGGAACAGGUGGCUCUUGCUGGGGUUGGGGAUCCUCUCCUCCCACUUUCUGCUCAGCCUGGAAGACACCAGGGAGGUGACAGCCAUCAGAGACCUCAGAACCAGCUGCUCCCGUGCUCAUGCCCAGAGGGGAAACUGAGGCCCAGGAAAUGCCACAGAAGCGGAGGGCCACGAGCACAGCGAGGGUGAGGAGCACCACGACGAGCGGCAGCACCCACACGGGCAGCGCUUCCAGCAGCCGGGGAGGAAGAGCAGCGUCAGCACCGGGGAGGGGAACGGACCUCGGGGCGGGGACAGGGGUUGGCGCAGUAUCCCCCAAGACCUUGCUCCUUGCAGGCCUAGGGCUCUGGAACUUACUGCCUCAGGGGACUAGGGGGGAGAGGCCAGAUCCAUGCUGAGAAGGGCAUUGGUCUGCACCCCCACAAUGUUCAAAGAGCUGGGAGCACACAGGGAGGUCAGAUCCUUUCCAGUCACAGGACGUGCUAUGGGGAAGGCAAGAACUACAGUUCAUGGCAAUCACAGGGGACUUCGUGAAGGAGGUGGCAUAGUAGCCGGGCCUCGUUAACAGGAAGGACUAGAGUGGCAGAGAUGGGGAAAGGCAGGCUGGCAGAGGCACCAGCAGGUGCAAAGGCCCAUCCGGAGGCCCCGAUACCUCUUGCUGCCCAGCCCUGAGACUCUCACAGACCAGGUUCCUCCAGGACUCUCCUCUUCCUCCUCCCUUGGGCCCAUUGGUAAAGCCUCCUUUCUGCUUGGUUGGGGCCCUCUCCCUGGGCCCCUGCAGCUACCAAGUCUGACUGUGGACUUGGGCUGCUCCCAGUAUCUCCUGUAUCCUCACUCUCUCUGAAACCAUCCCAUGGCCCUGUCUUGUUCUACAGGAGUUCCCUGGUGGCCACUAUGGUGAAAGGUGACGGAAAGUGCACACAGCAAGUGCAGGGAGGUGGGGAGAGGAAGGAAUCACAGCAAAACCUUCCAGUCCAAAGACCCAGUCUGCGGCUCUACAUUUUCUUGCUUCCAUGGUGACAGGAAACUCAGAAUGAGCAAUCACAAAAGCGUGGUAGCCCCCAAAGCUAAGAAACCAAAGGCCAUAUUAACAAAGGCCUAAGUCCCAGUUUAAAGGAGGAGUGAUGGUGAGAUCUGUUCUCCUCUACUCCCGCAAGUCCUCACUUGCAGUCCGUAUUACACACCAGGUGUCACUUUCCCAAGGGAGGGAAGGGGCCUGAGUGGGGUGGGGUCUGGAGCCCCACAUCGCUGUACCCACAGUCUGCAUCCUCUGCCUGGCUGUGCUGUCUCAUGAAGAGCGGGUGGAGAACUGACUUCAUGCCCAGUUUCUGCUUUCUUUACCCUUUGCCCUUUCAUCGUGAGGGUCUGCCAGCCAGCUGGGAGGUGCUGUCUGCAAAGGCCUUCCCUUUCUCUUUGGCCACCAUCUAUUUGGGAAGAGGGCUCACCUACAAGUCGUGGCAGGCCUGCUACAGCUGCUGCGUUGGGGAUUUUCUGGCAGUGAGAAACUCUGAGCUGGGCCCGGCCAGAAGCUGUGGACUCCGGCCUGUACCUACCCCACUCGGUUUCCCAGGAGCGCUCCUCACUCCACUGGCUCCAGAUCCCAUCGUAGCCGCUGCGGAAGGUCCUGACCCUCACCCUGGCCCAACGGAAUCUCGCUCUGUCGCCCAGGCUGG
This is a long non-coding RNA of Saimiri boliviensis boliviensis (Bolivian squirrel monkey), 2766 nucleotides long. RefSeq lists it as uncharacterized. The record is from RefSeq and is a predicted model, not a curated record. NCBI's taxonomy places the organism in Eukaryota, Metazoa, Chordata, Mammalia, Primates, Cebidae.